UGCAGUCGAGCGGACAGAAGGGAGCUUGCUCCCGGAUGUUAGCGGCGGACGGGUGAGUAACACGUGGGUAACCUGCCUGUAAGACUGGGAUAACUCCGGGAAACCGGAGCUAAUACCGGAUAGUUCCUUGAACCGCAUGGUUCAAGGAUGAAAGACGGUUUCGGCUGUCACUUACAGAUGGACCCGCGGCGCAUUAGCUAGUUGGUGGGGUAAUGGCUCACCAAGGCGACGAUGCGUAGCCGACCUGAGAGGGUGAUCGGCCACACUGGGACUGAGACACGGCCCAGACUCCUACGGGAGGCAGCAGUAGGGAAUCUUCCGCAAUGGACGAAAGUCUGACGGAGCAACGCCGCGUGAGUGAUGAAGGUUUUCGGAUCGUAAAGCUCUGUUGUUAGGGAAGAACAAGUGCGAGAGUAACUGCUCGCACCUUGACGGUACCUAACCAGAAAGCCACGGCUAACUACGUGCCAGCAGCCGCGGUAAUACGUAGGUGGCAAGCGUUGUCCGGAAUUAUUGGGCGUAAAGGGCUCGCAGGCGGUUUCUUAAGUCUGAUGUGAAAGCCCCCGGCUCAACCGGGGAGGGUCAUUGGAAACUGGGAAACUUGAGUGCAGAAGAGGAGAGUGGAAUUCCACGUGUAGCGGUGAAAUGCGUAGAGAUGUGGAGGAACACCAGUGGCGAAGGCGACUCUCUGGUCUGUAACUGACGCUGAGGAGCGAAAGCGUGGGGAGCGAACAGGAUUAGAUA
This 744-nucleotide ribosomal RNA is filed under the name Bacillus sp. (in: firmicutes). RNAcentral describes it as "bacterial SSU rRNA". It matches the Rfam family "Bacterial small subunit ribosomal RNA", at positions 56 to 784 of the family's 1533-position model. Lineage: Bacteria; Bacillati; Bacillota; Bacilli; Caryophanales; Bacillaceae. The record is from RNAcentral.